Molecule: ribosomal RNA, 719 nt
Filed under: uncultured Planctomycetota bacterium
Lineage: Bacteria; Pseudomonadati; Planctomycetota
Description: bacterial SSU rRNA
Rfam family: Bacterial small subunit ribosomal RNA
Source: RNAcentral
GAGCACGUAGGUGGGUUUGUAAGUCAGGUGUGAAAGCCUUCUGUUCAAAGGAAGAACGGCAUCUGAAACCGCAGAUCUUGAGUGUAGGAGGGGAGAGUGGAACUUCUGGUGGAGCGGUGAAAUGCGUAGAUAUCAGAAGGAACGUCGGCGGCGAAAGCGACUCUCUGGCCUAUUACUGACACUGAGGUGCGAAAGUUAGGGGAGCAAACGGGAUUAGAUACCCCGGUAGUCCUAACCGUAAACGAUGGGCACUAAGUAGAGGGAAUUACCAAUGUUCUCUCUGCCGUAGCUAACGCAUUAAGUGCCCCGCCUGGGGAGUACGGCCGCAAGGCUAAAACUCAAAAGAAUUGACGGGGGCUCGCACAAGCGGUGGAGCAUGUGGCUUAAUUCGAUGCAACGCGAAAAACCUUACCGGGGUUUGACAUGGUAGAAGUAGGAACCCGAAAGGGCAACCAACGGUAUCCAGUCCGUAGCUAUCACAGGUGUUGCAUGGCUGUCGUCAGCUCGUGUCGUGAGACGUUGGGUUAAGUCCCCUAACGAGCGAAACCCUUGUUUUUAGUUACCAUCGGGUAGUGCCGGGUACUCUAAAAAGACUGCCGUCGUCAAGACGGAGGAAGGUGGGGAUGACGUCAAGUCAUCAUGGCCCUUAUACCCCGGGCUGCACACGUGCUACAAUGGUCGGUACAAAAGGAUGCAAGACCGAGAGGUGAAGCGAAUCC